Leopardus geoffroyi (Geoffroy's cat) is the source of this 4206-nucleotide long non-coding RNA. RefSeq lists it as uncharacterized. The record is from RefSeq and is a predicted model, not a curated record. Lineage: Eukaryota; Metazoa; Chordata; Mammalia; Carnivora; Felidae. The transcript has 5 exons.
CUCUCUGUCUCAAAAAUAAAUAAACAUUAAAAAAACACAGUUCUUCCCUUUUACAAAUAUUUAUACAUCACUAAAUCAGAAAAUGCUACACCCUCAGGCAUGCUCCCAGCAAACGAGGCUUUGGCAGAUUGUUGACACCAGUUUGCAAAGAAAUGUCUACACUGUGAGUAAAUCACUAACUUUUCCAUCUUCUUGAUGCUUCCACAAUUCAAGAAAUGUUAAAAUGUUUACUAUCUUUUCUGUCUUUAAUUUCUAUCGACGAGAAAAAGAUGAAACACGAAGGACUAGAGCUCCACGGCUGACCAAGGUUGGCAAGGUCACGGAGGAAACCUAGAACGCAUGCGCGCCCCUGAGAUCUGGGGCCACAGGUGCGCCAAGGUCCCGACGAUCCGGCCUCCGCCAGCCGCUUCAGCUCAGCGAACACGUUUGGAGCCAGACAAGGGAGGCUCACUUGCCUGGGUUACUUCUUGCUGGUGCCUCUGGAAAUCGUAAAUGAAAUUUAAACUGUCCCCUGAAGCUGAUAUGAGGUCUAGAGUGUGGGAACCUGAGCCGGCCGGACAUGUGGCCUGGAGAGAGAAAGACAGACGAAAGCGUCAUAUGCUGAGAGAGCUUAAGAGACUAGCAGCCAGAUGCGGCAUGGAGACCUUGAGUGGAGCCUAUUGGAACAAAAACAACUGUAGCAGCCCACUGACAGACACUUGAAACGCGCAGAGCGAGACCCUCUUCAGGCGACUCCUGGCUGCCCUUCUCCCUUGGCGUUUGUGUUUUAUUAAAGACUGAAAAUAACUUUAUCUCAAGGUCCUGAAAGCCUCGCUUCCAGAUUCCUCAGAAACUUACUUUAUCUCUAUCGCCCUCCCUCCACAAACCUAAAGGUGUAUAAUCAGUCACCCCUCACAACCCCAGGGCAGCUCUUUCUGCCCCCGGGUCCCGUCCCCGUGCUUUAGUAAAACCACCUUUUCGCACCAAAGACAUCUCAAGAAUUCUUUCUUAGCCGUUUGCUCAAGAACCCCAUCAGUGGGGAACAGCGAGAACAAAACUGGCUCAAUGUGAUAUGGGAGGCUGGUGACAGAGCCUCGGGGACUGUUGUGUGCCUACCGCUACCGUUGUGUGUGUUUGGAAAUCUCUGCGACGGAAAGCUUGAAGAGAGAACACGCAAUUGAAUUUGGCCCUCUCAGCCAAAAAGGAUGGAAGGAAGAAAGAAAAGAAGGGAAGAACGGGAAAGAGGAGAGAGUGCCCGAGUGCGCACAGGGUGACCCAGAGGGCUAGCCUCUCCCGGCGUGCAGAGUCCGCGGGAAUGACACCGCCAGGCAGGAGGGGCCGCGGCCAGGCCAGUAGCAUGACCGAAUCUUGCCCCUUCUGCCGCCUUUGUGCAGUCCCCACAUCAGCCACCCGGGACUGGUUCCUCGCCUCCGGCUGUGUUACUGAGGUGUGUUUCUCAUUGCGAAAUCCAGCUGGAGAAACCCGUCUUCCAGAGACCUGUACGCUUUAUGAGCCCCGCACUGGUGGGUGAUGCUCUUUGCCAAGACUUACAGUCAAUUCCAGGGCUCUCGGGGGAAAUCUGAACCCCUUACAAGAGGAGGAAUGUUUGUCCAGUUUCCUUCGGUUGAUCCGUUCGGAUUCACUAGCCAUCAGCCUAAAAUCAGGGCUGGGAUGUGGAUUCUCACGGGUUCUGGGGAGGGUCACGAACCUGAAAUCACUUCCAUUGCAGAAGCACCCAUCCACAGCAUGACCGAAAAAGCUGAUGGGGACGUGAGUUGGCCUUUCAUCCUCUCUCUUCCUGUCCUUUCCUGCAGGUGCAGAAUGUCUGGAGAAGUGGGAGAUGGGGGCUGGCAGUGUACAGAUAUGGGUGUGGGACAGCCACGGUGUCGUCUACACAGGGUGCCAUCACCCUAGAGACCCCUGGGACCCACGGGACUUUAGGAGAGCCUUUUCUUCCCCUCCACGGCCCCAGUACCUCUCCCGUUCUCAAUUCCACUGGGAAAGAUGUCACCGAAAGCACAGACUAACCUGAGAAGAUUCUCUGCUGGUUUACUUUUAUUAUUAACCCUGUUAUGAGAACUUUUAAGAUCUACUCUUUUGGCAACUUUCAAAUGUACAGCCCAGUUAUUAUUAACUACCAUCAAUCACCGUGCUGUCUGCCACACCCAGGACCUACUCAUUUCAUAACUGGAAGUUUGUGCCUUUCAACCCCUUCACUGAUUCCACCCGCCCCCACUCCUCCGUGUCUACGGGUCUGCUCUUUGUUUUGUGUGGCCGCACACCAAAGAAGUUCUCAGAUACUGGAUGGAGCGGACGUGCGGGCACGCUUCCCCCAGUGAAACGGCUGCAGCAGCAAACUGCACAGAGUCUUUAUUUCAUAUUUUCUUAGAUACGAGUAUCAAAGGAUAUCAAAGCAUGGGUAGGGAACACAAAGGGUCUUCAGACAUUAACCAGACACACACCUGCUGGCUACGUGAAGGGAGUACGUGUAGUUUCAAGGAGUGUCAGGGGGUCACAGCGGAUUUUGUAUCUAAUUGUCCUCUGCGGCGUCACGGGGCUCUGUCCUCGGAGUGCUAUCGCGCUCGACAGCCUUGGGACCAGAACAUCGCUGACGUUUCAGCUCUCACCCCGCUCACCCUCCAGGACUUAACGAUACCCUCUCUAGCAAUGACUCCACAGUUUUAUCGUUGCUGGUGUUUUAGAUCCCACGGCCUCUCCAGUGCACUUGUCUACUCUGCCAAAAUACCCGAUUACACGUGGGCGCCAUUGUUCUCUCCCUCCGCUCGCGCUCAGGCUCCUGGAAUGUGCACCUGCUGUGCCUGCAGCUGCCGUCCAGCUGUGGUCCUGGGACCUCCCAUUGGCAGCAUAUUGGGGCUGCUCUCCACCUCCCUCUGGCGGGUCCCUGGUUUUCAAUCCCUGUCAUUGUCUUCCUUAGCUUCCCCUCUCAUUUGUGCAGAAGGCCUCCUCUAGCAGCUUCCUGGAAAAUGGUGCCUGAGUGAUACGUUUUUACUCUCAUCCUUCAUAAUUGGACUCAGUAUGAAAUCUAGGUUGAAUAUAAUUUUUCUUCAGGGCCUAUCCCAGUUUUUCUUCUAUUUGUAAUAAUGGUAAGGAGUCUGCUAACAUCUUAUCCCCUCUCUCUUGUAAAGUAACUCCCUUCCCUCGGAAUGUUUUACAAUCUGCUGUACCACUCACGGUUGUGGUCGUGUGCCUUGGCUUAUUCCAUUCAUUUUGCUGGGACGUGGUGAUCCUCUCCGUUUGAAAAGUAGAGUCCUUCCCUCCAGGGGAGAUUCGUGUGUCAGGUGCCGAGAGCCUCCCCAGCUGCCUCCCCUGGUCUCACUUUCUCAAGUGCUCACCAGUCAACCUCAAACUGAUCCACUCAUGUUAUUUCUUUCCAAGUCUCCAUCGGUUAUGGUUUCACCUUCUCAAAGACAGAUUUAACAUUAUUUUCCCAUGCUUCUACUGAAAUUUUAAUUUUCACUAUAUGCUUUAAUUUCCUAGCUUUUUACUUUACUCUUUGAUUUUUCUUUUCACAGCAUCUGGUCCUUGAUUUACAGGUUCAAUAUUUUCUCUUAUAUCCCUGCACAUACUAAUUACGGGGGCUUUUUGAAGUUGAUUUUUUACUGUCCCCAAUGCUGAUGUUUAUUUUGUGUUCUUUUUCAUGUAUGAUGGUCUUAUUCUUUGCUUUUCAUGUUAUAACUCUUUUCAAGUAUCUGGUUAUCCUUGUGAAGGAGAUCAGAAUAGACCAUCCCAAAAUAGACCGCUUUGGCAUAAGGAUUAUUUUGAGUGGAAGGCAAUGGAGAAACAGCGGAUUCAGGAAAAACUCUAUCCUCCCCUUUCUGCCUGAAUGCAGGGUAUAUGUUUUCCCUUGUGAAGAUGUUCCCCACUCCUGUCCAGUUCCAGAAGAGACCAUGUGAUGCAACCUGUCUCACUGGAGACGGAAAACCGGCCCUAACAGAGCUUGCUAAAAGAUCCCUCAUAUUCCAUUCGUUUCCCCAGAUAUUUAUCAGCCCAUGAUCACCACCCCUACAAACCCACACCCUUUCUCCUUUGUCUUGUCUCUUCUCCACGAUUGAUCGCCUUCUGUUAAGAUGGUUUAAAGCCCCAGAUUCUAACCACCCCUUUGAGUCACUCACCGCUGAGUCCUCCCACGUGUAUGCACGUUGCACAUGCAAAUAAACUCUUGGGUUUUUUCUCCUGUUAAUCUGUCUUUUAUCCAUUUGAUGUAUA